This 2977-nucleotide long non-coding RNA is filed under the name Vigna radiata. Its description in RNAcentral is "long non-coding RNA (VRAD_LNC011545)". The record is from RNAcentral. Lineage: Eukaryota; Viridiplantae; Streptophyta; Magnoliopsida; Fabales; Fabaceae.
UCUUAAUUCUUAGCUUUUAGAAAAGAGAAAUUUAGUGAAUAGGUAUUAGUUUGUUUGUUUGCUUCAAUUUUUCUACAUUGCACGUGAAUCUACUUUAUGAUGUUGUUCUCUUUACUUUAAGAAAUAAUAUAUCUUGUCAUUGGUUGGCUAAAAAAAAAAAAAAAAAAAAGAAAGCAAGAAGAUGAUAAGAGUCAUAAAGAUUGGUUCCCCGUAAAACAUGGGUGCAAAAUUUUCUUGUAUGGGACCUUUCCUUUCUAAUAAUUUUAUGGCAUUAUUGCUAAGCCAGCUGCCAAAGAGAAUUAUUUUCUCCUUAUAUAACAUUAGUAUGGCCAUAAGAGAGUAAGAGAAAACUCAGAUUUAAGUUAGAAAAUACUUUUACGUUUGUGAAGGAGAGCAAGUAAGAGUGACAGCCUAGGAGUAUCAAGAGUGAAGAAAUCCUUGCAGGAGAAGAGGUUAGGGGAGCUAACUCUUCUUGAUGCAUGAUAAUUGUAUAAUUAUGGUUUUUGAUUUUGCUAUGAGUAUGUUGGAUCUUGUANUGUUAGUCUACAUGUUUAUCUGUAUAGGUUUUGAUCAUCAUUGACUAUGCUCUUUGUAUUUUCCAUUUUUGGAGUUACCAAAAUAAAACCUUAAUCCGAAAUUCGUUUACCGUUAGAUUAAGCUCAAAUUUUGAUAUAUGAUUCCUGAGAUAAAUUAUUAUGAUUUAACCGUUCAGAUUUGUGAUUAAAGUUCUGUAUUGAGAGAAAUUGAUUUCGUAACUUUGAAUAGAGACAUCACUAUUUGAUUUAUGCUGCUAAGUUCACAUGGUAAAAUAUAAAUUCCUGCCUAGUGAACCAUUAGAUUGAUCCAAAAGUUUGAUAUAUGGACCAUAAGACAUAUUAAUUUGCUUUGACCGUUCGGAUUUUUAUUUUGAGAUCUUUAAUUAGAGGAAGAAAUUUCACAUGUUGGAAUAAGUUACUAAUCACCUUAUUUUCUGCUACUAAGUCUCCUCGGGAAAACAUGAAUUAUAGUCAAUUCAACCGUUGGAUUGGUCCAGAAUUUUUGAUAUAUGAUUAAUAAGACUUAUAUUGUUAAUUGGACCGUUCGGAUUAUUAAUCUAAUGUCCCAAGUUAGAGAUAUAGAUUUCGGAUUGUUAAUUUGAGGUACCUGAUUUUUAGCUUAGUUCUAUCUUUAAACCAUCUAAGGAAAAGAAUUAUGAGAUUCACUUCAUCAACCGUUGGAUCAAACCGAAAAAUUUAUUACAGAAUUUAGAAAUAUAUUGUUUUAGUUUUGACCAGAAGGAUCUUCAAUAGGAAGUCAGAAGCUAUAAUGAAUACACUUAUAGCGUUCCAAUAAUCUUAAGUGUUUGAUAACCUGGACUUUUAUUGUUGGUUAGUAUUGUAAAUUUUACUGCAGUUAGUACAGUUAUCCAAAAAAUACGUAUCUGGUGUCUAGAGAAAGCCUUUUGAGUCUAGAACCCAAUAAAACAAGAAUCAUCUCAUUCAGAGUUAUGUAGAGAGAGUUAUGAAUAAAACAAUAAGCAAAGGUCAAGGCUGAAAAUUAUCAGAACGUGAGUAAAUUUACGAUUUUUAAUAAUUUUACUGAGGCUAGCCCUGUUGACCAAAAAUUACGAGUUUGGUGUCCAAAGAAAGAUAUUUGAGUCUAGAAUCCAAUAAAACAAGAAUCAACGCAUUCGGAGUUCUGUAGAAGAAAUUAUGAAUAAAACACUGAGCAAAGGUCGUUUUGACAGCAAUCAAUUUUACAAGGGUAAUUAUGUUGUUAAUGAAAAAUAUGAUGUUUUCUGAGAGAGGGAUUUUUGAGUAUUUGAAAAAUCAACUAGUUGAUAUAGAAAUAAACAGAUGAAAAUGGGAAAGAACGAGAAGAGUUAGUAAUUUCUGAGAAAUCAGAAAUUUGUGGACCCAUGUGGGAUCCACUUGGAUGAGUUAGUAAAUUUUUAUUUUGUGGUGGGUUAAAAUUAUUAAAUAAUGAGGAGUGACACAUUGUUGAGGUGUUAAGCCUUGUUUAUCAACGUUUUUGCUCAUUCAUGUUAUUGAGAACAUGUGAGCGUUCGUGAUUGAGCACGGUUGCUUCGUUGGCUUACUUCUGUUCGAUGGAUACAUGUUAUUGAGAGCAUGUAAUUAGUUCGUGAUUGAGCACGGUUUAUUGAGUUCGUUGGUGUAGUUCACGUAAAUCAUACUAUUCGCUUGUAUUUUCGUCAAACGAGUAUCAUACUAAUAAAUUCUAGUCUCGCCAGAGAUUAGAGAUUCGAGUGUCACUUCCUUCUGCGCGAGGAGGUGAAUGUCUCGCCUAUGACUUUGGCUCGUGCUGAGUAUAGUGCAUCGGUGUGCGUAAUAUCGAUGUUUUUACUCGUUAGUCCUUGAGGAGUUAAGGGAGACAGAUUUGAUGUUGCGAUUGAAGACGACUCGAAUAGUGUGCUAUUGAGAGCAGCUCGUGUUGACAAAAUACAAAGAAAUGAUUGUUCCAAUAAAGGAAAAUCAACUGUUAUUGAGAACAGUAUAUGACAAACAAGGAAAAAGACAUUAGAGUACGAAAGGCUAAAUUAUGAUGUUAUGUUUUGCGUCGAAAUAUAAAGAUAUGAAUCGUCAUAAUGUGUAUGAAAUUUAUAAUUUGAUUUUUUUUUUUUAUAUCAUGACAUUUCGAGUUGCUCACCCUUGCAUGUUGUGGUUGUGGUUUCCACCUGCGAUGAUCGUACUUGUACGGGAGUAGAUGAUAGUGCAGAUAAUAUUGGAACGGAGUAGCUCGACGAGAGUGCUGGGGAAUAAAAUUUAUCGGGUUUUCUUUAUGAUGUAUUUACUAGUGUGUUGAAUUCUAUCGUUGUAAAAGACUAUUUAUAAUCACUUCGAUACGGUGUAAAAGCGUAUAGUGUGUUUAUGAAUUUGCUUCCGCAUUUUAAAUAAGAAUAAACAUGUUGGGAUUUGAAUAUUUUAUAUAAUUUAGUACCUUGAUUUAUUAUAAGUAGCAUCCUAUUAGGGGUGUUACA